UAUGGAUAUUAAAGGGAGAAGUAACAUGUUAAUCUCUUCAGGGGAUUAAAGAGUUUAAAGUCUUGCUCACUCCUCUCUAUCACGCACACGUAGUACGCCCGCUCAAUGUACAAUUCACGUUUUGAAUAAUAUUUUAGUCAAAAGAUGUCUUGCAUUCCACGUUGCGAUGCCACCUGUUCUAAGCAAUAAUUUCGAUUAAUGUCUAGACAGGUCUCGCCUCUUUCUUCAGUAGUAAUAAAAACGAAGUAAUUUUGCGACGAUUAUUCCAGUUUUAUCAAGACUCCGUCCCACUAAGCCGUGUUCUCAGUUCUCAAGAGUAGCUUUAGCCAUUUGCUGCGCUUUAAGCAGAAUUAAGGCCAUUUUACAAGACAUCAGCACCCUGCAAGGAAACACAGACAUCAACACGUGAAAUGGAAAGGGCGCCGGUAACUUGUCACGUGCAAGUGGGCUUUACAGAACAGCUAUCACAAAAAACCGAUCAGCUUAAAAGUCACCAAAAAGCGAAUAGUCAGCAGAGUCAAGUCGAAAGGCUUUUUCCAGAAUUUUUCUCCGGUUGCAACGAACCACGUUUCAAAGAAAUGUGCAAAGACAAGGCUCACACACAUUUGAAGGCGGAACAAGGGUUCGACCCGCUGAUUCAAUCGUGGUUAAGCUUAUAUGGAGGAAGCGCAUGCGUCCAUUAGACAUCACCUUUACUCGUUCUCAUGAAGGAACAAUUCUUACACUGCUAGUCUUUACUGGGGAUAACAUAGAGAGUGAUGAUAUUAAUGACAAAAAAGGAAUACUCCAAAACUUCUUAGCUGACAAGAGUAUAAAAUCUGAGAUCUUUAUACUUAGGUUUCUUGGUAAGAGUCUAUUUCAUCACUACUUUGACUAAAAGCCUCAAGGACACUUAUUCACAAAACAGAAAACAAGAUCUUUUCAAACCUUUUAAUGCACGCUAUUUGUCAAGAAAUGACACUAGAUCUGCGCACAGUUAUCGUUUUCUUAGAAAUAUUUUACCUUGUGUCUUUACUUUCGAUCAGUUCAGAGAAAUAGGAUGACUGAAGCCAGAUAUUGAAAAUGUCGCCUUAGAGUUUGUCGGAAAAUGUUUCACAUUUAACGUCAGUGGGCUGCUGGUUGCAAAGUAUUCUGUGGUUGUUUUCUCCCCUCAGCUGGUAGAACGGUAGUACAAACUAGUUUUCGAGUGGCAAUUUAUUGUUUUUACCGCAAUUCUUAAAAAUAGAAGUUUAAAAGCUA
Pocillopora damicornis (cauliflower coral) is the source of this 1239-nucleotide long non-coding RNA. RefSeq lists it as uncharacterized. The record is from RefSeq and is a predicted model, not a curated record. NCBI's taxonomy places the organism in Eukaryota, Metazoa, Cnidaria, Anthozoa, Scleractinia, Pocilloporidae.